RNAcentral lists this transfer RNA (72 nucleotides) under Camelus bactrianus (Bactrian camel). It matches the Rfam family "tRNA". From Rfam's summary of the family: Transfer RNA (tRNA) molecules are approximately 80 nucleotides in length. Their secondary structure includes four short double-helical elements and three loops (D, anti-codon, and T loops). Further hydrogen bonds mediate the characteristic L-shaped molecular structure. tRNAs have two regions of fundamental functional importance: the anti-codon, which is responsible for specific mRNA codon recognition, and the 3' end, to which the tRNAs corresponding amino acid is attached (by aminoacyl-tRNA synthetases). tRNAs cope with the degeneracy of the genetic code in two manners: having more than one tRNA (with a specific anti-codon) for a particular amino acid; and 'wobble' base-pairing, i.e. permitting non-standard base-pairing at the 3rd anti-codon position. The record is from Rfam by way of RNAcentral. RNAcentral also lists the same sequence under 1 other name. Lineage: Eukaryota; Metazoa; Chordata; Mammalia; Artiodactyla; Camelidae.
GAGGGGAUAGCUCAGUGGUAGAGUGCAUGCUUAACACGCACGAGAUCCUGUGUUCUAUCCCCAGUACCUCCA